This 428-nucleotide ribosomal RNA is filed under the name uncultured bacterium. Its description in RNAcentral is "bacterial SSU rRNA". It matches the Rfam family "Bacterial small subunit ribosomal RNA", at positions 355 to 775 of the family's 1533-position model. The record is from RNAcentral.
UAGGGAAUUUUCCACAAUGGGGGCAACCCUGAUGGAGCAAUGCCGCGUGAGUGAAGACGCAAUUCGUUGUGUAAAGCUCUGUUGUAAGGGAAGAAUAAGAUGUAGAGUGGAAAGCUACAUUGAUGACGGUACCUUACCAGAAAGCCACGGCUAACUACGUGCCAGCAGCCGCGGUAAUACGUAGGUGGCAAGCGUUAUCCGGAAUUAUUGGGCGUAAAGGGUGCGCAGGCGGUAAGAUAAGUUUGAGGUAAAAGGUCACAGCUCAACUGUGGUAUGCCUUGAAAACUGUUUUACUAGAGUGCAGGAGAGGGUGAUGGAAUUCCAUGUGUAGCGGUAAAAUGCGUAGAGAUAUGGAGGAACACCAGUGGCGAAGGCGGUCACCUGGCCUGUAACUGACGCUCAAGCACGAAAGCGUGGGGAGCAAAUAG